This is an RNA transcript of Daucus carota subsp. sativus, 1891 nucleotides long. RefSeq lists it as hypothetical. The record is from RefSeq and is a predicted model, not a curated record. NCBI's taxonomy places the organism in Eukaryota, Viridiplantae, Streptophyta, Magnoliopsida, Apiales, Apiaceae. The transcript has 10 exons.
GAAUAUUAAGACUUCAAUAUAUAUUGAAUUUCAGUAAAUGCCAAGUACAGAUAGAAACAUCGAUAAGGAGGAGUAUUGGAAAAUUAUUCACAUUCCAGACAAGGCACCUAUUCCACCACAUUUGCAACCCACAGUGAAUGCCUAUGCUUCAGUAAUUAAUCCAAAACAUGCUAACACACUUAUAAGGAGGUUGAAUAAGAUUUCUCCACUCGAAGAUCUUCGCCAUGUGAAGCGCAUAUGCAAGAAGUGUGUUGAAGGAAACGUUCAGUUAUUGGUGAUAUUAUGUCUGGCUUCUGAUGGGAGUGACCAGUCGGAAAACAUACCCAGUGAAAUGGUCGAGCUAAUCAAGUCAUACCAGUUGAGUACAUUUAUCACAAAAGUAUCCAAAUAUGCAGCUACAUCAAAAGAAGAAUGGGAAGAACAGUGCAAGCUAUGGCCAACUUCAUAUCAUCCACCAACCUACAACAUAGACGGCAUCACUGGAUUUAGUGAAGAAAACUCACAAUCAGUUUGUGAGUUCAUGAAAUUAGCUAUUGAUUUGGCAAAAUCUGUUGAUGGUCAGAUUGUAAAUGCUGCUGUUAUUGUUAAUCCAGCAUCUAAUCAAGUGGUAGCAAGAUCGUGUGAUCAGGUUUUUUCGCAGAAUAAUCCUUCAACAAGGAACAGUGCUGGAGAAGGGUACCUAGAACCAUGUAAAUUGACAUCUUCUUCCAUCAGUAAUGGACUGCAAACCUAUACAAAUUCAAGUUCAAACUCUUCCUUCAAUGAACAGAAGAGAACAUAUGGUGGCGUUUCUUGUUUACAUCCUUGGCAGUGGGCUGAACAACAGUCCCAAGCAAGUUGUUUUCGCCACCCUUUUCACCAUGCUGCUAUGGUUGCUAUCGACAAUUCUGCUGCCAGAGAUAGAUAUCUCUUCCCUGCUAGUGAACAUAUAGUUGAUAAAUGCUGUCAGGCUGAAGUUAUGGAUUCACCUUCUACAGUAUCUCCGUCUAAAAAGCAAAAGACUGAAACAAAGGUGGAGGAUUCUGGAAUACAAAAUGGCGAACAUAAUGCCUGUGGUUCCAUGCCAGUCAGACCCUACUUAUGUACUGGUUAUGACAUAUACCUUGUUUGGGAACCAUGCAUUAUGUGUGCCAUGGCACUUGUUCAUCAGCGGAUUAAGCGUAUAUUUUACACUUUUCCUAAUCACAAUGCUGGGGCGCUUGGAAGUUUGCACAGAUUGCAAGGAGAAAAAAGCUUAAAUCACCACUAUGCUGUUUUCAGAGUCUUUUUACCAGAAUCUAUAUUGGAUAGAGAUGAUGUUGUCACUGCUGUUUCUGGAAGUGAUAAAAACAAAACACAUGUUCUAUAGGAGGUAUGUACUUGCAAUUAAUUAUGCCCCUUGUUUUUUAUAGGAGGGAACACUUCCAUACUACCAUGGUAGCAGAUCAUCUCCAAGAGACUCUCUAAUUGAGCUCUUAAGUAGAAAAAUAAAGAGCCAUGUCCAAAAUAGAGCUCCAAGAGACUCUUAGAGGCUUUUUAAAAAGUAUACUGUACAAAUUAUCUCACUUGUGAAUUGUGAUUGAGCCUCUAUACUGCAAGGAAGAUGUUUACUUGGGUAGAAGGGGGCAAUUUACCCCUAUAGCUGUUAGGAAAAUUUUCCUCUGUAAAAGAGGGCAAUAGAGCCUAGAUAUUUAGUAAAAUGAACUGUACUACAUAAGACUAGUUGAUAUGUGAUUGGUUAAUGUACUGGCAUUAGUCUAGACUCAACUUUAAAUCCUUGAGCAAUUUUUGGGUGUUGGCCUCGAGUAUCACAAUUUGUAAGAAAAUGACCCGAAACACCGGUGCCGGUGCCGAAGAAGAUGGCCACGACUUAUAAUUUUUAUAUGUAAAACGCUAAAUCGUGUUGCUUCUA